This is a long non-coding RNA of Homo sapiens (human), 1354 nucleotides long. Ensembl annotates it as long intergenic non-protein coding RNA 1661. The record is from Ensembl. NCBI's taxonomy places the organism in Eukaryota, Metazoa, Chordata, Mammalia, Primates, Hominidae.
AGUGGAAGCUAAGCAAUUGGACAAAGCCAUCUAAACCCAAAGCAAUGGCUCGAUGGAGUUCACCAGGGAGGAUCUUGCUCUGAUCUAAAUAUACAGUGGAAAUCUGAUGUGAUCUAGGCUGCUGCACCUCAUCUACUAAAACCAAAUCCUGGAAAAGAUUUCUAUGAGAUGGUUUCUGUCAUUCUUCCUAAACUGGGAGCUAAGUGAUUAAUAUAGAGGAAAACUCACAGAUAAACAUAUCUCUGCAAAUGCAAAUAAGUACUAAAGUGCUGGUAACCAACAUCCCCACCCUGGUUCCUCUUAGCACUUCAGUCAAAGGCACACUUCGAACAGAAGAAUCUGAACCACAAAUUUAGCCAGUCUCUACUACCUUCAGAAAGGCUUCCAGAAGUCAUUUUCCUCCCAGACCUCCUAGAUUUCUAAUUUCUCUAUUCCUGCUAGGAGGGACACUACUACCCAAUCUAGGAGUAUCUUGGAAGAUUCAAGUGGGAAACCAUUCAGAUCUGUCUCUUCCCCUCAUCGCAUCAACAUUUUAAUCUGUCUCUACACAACGCAGGAUUCACAAGGGAAGUCUCAAAUCCCAUAGCGUUGCUUACAAGCAGCGUGACAACAAGGAUGAAGCCAGAGAGGCACCUAUGGUACAAAAUUUUAAAAGCAUGAAUUUCCCUCAACCUUAAGAAGAGAUGGAAUGUUCAUAAUGAGGAAGAAGUCUUCUGAUUUUCUAAAUAGGUAAUCACAACACAGAAGAGUGAAGAAGGACACAGGCUCUUAGCCACCAUGGCCUAAAACUGUCCCACACCUCUUCAACUCACAUCCUACUGUCCACAACCAGUCAUCAGUCAUGUGCAACGUUCACACAUAAAAGCCCUGGAAAAUGAAGGCCAGUGAUUUGCCUAGGAAAAGUAACCAGAAUAUAAUAUGACAAUGCACGAAGGAGGUGCCCAGGAAAUACUGUGGCAUGAAAGAAGGAAGGAAGGAAGACAUUCAUACGUCCCUUGUAUAGACAUUGGCAUGCACACUACAUAUAUAAUCGAAUUCUUCUCAAAUUUGUCUUGAUUAGACACAGUUCCUCUCAAUAGAAGAUAAUGCAAUGCAUCAAUUCCAUCCUCAACUAUCUGGAAUCCCUUGCCAUAUAAAGGAUGCUCUAUUGCUGCAAAAAGCCUCAUUUAGUCUUCAUGAUAUUCUGUGGCAGUGGUGUUAUUACUUAUCCUGGAGAUGAGGAAAGUUACAAACAGGACAUGAACUGAGAUUUUCUAUCUCUAAAUCUCUUGCUCUUUCCUCCAAACUAAAUUCUUAGCUUCUCAGUAUCUGUGGUACUGAAAUAAAAGAAAUACAAAUGUUGGUUGUACACUAA